AGUGAACGCUGGCGGUAGGCCUAACACAUGCAAGUCGAACGGCAGCACAGUAAGAGCUUGCUCUUACGGGUGGCGAGUGGCGGACGGGUGAGGAAUACAUCGGAAUCUACUUUUUCGUGGGGGAUAACGUAGGGAAACUUACGCUAAUACCUCAUACUACCUACGGGUGAAAUCAGGGGAUCUUCGGACCUUGCGCGAUUGAAUGAGCCGAUGUCGGAUUAGCUAGUUGGCGGGGUAAAGGCCCACCAAGGCGACGAUCCGUAGCUGGUCUGAGAGGAUGAUCAGCCACACUGGAACUGAGACACGGUCCAGACUCCUACGGGAGGCAGCAGUGGGGAAUAUUGGACAAUGGGCGAAAGCCUGAUCCAGCCAUACCGCGUGAGUGAAGAAGGCCUUCGGGUUGUAAAGCCCUUUUGUUGGGAAAGAAAAGCAGCAGGUUAAUACCCCGCUGUUCUGACGGUACCCAAAGAAUAAGCACCGGCUAACUUCGUG
RNAcentral lists this ribosomal RNA (492 nucleotides) under uncultured bacterium. RNAcentral's name for it is "partial 16S ribosomal RNA". It matches the Rfam family "Bacterial small subunit ribosomal RNA", at positions 29 to 507 of the family's 1533-position model. The record is from RNAcentral.